GAUCCUAGCUCAGGAUGAACGCUGGCGGCGUGUCUAAUACAUGCGAGUCGAACGAAUCUCUUUUAGAGAUGAGUGGCGAACGGGUGAGUAAUACAUAGAUAACCUGCCCCUGUGCGGGGGAUAACAGGAGGAAACUCCUGCUAAUACCGCAUAGCCAUGAGCACCGCAUGGAGCUCAUGCCAAAUAUCCUUUCGGGGAUAGCGCAGGGAUGGACCUAUGGCGCA
Molecule: ribosomal RNA, 224 nt
Filed under: uncultured bacterium
Lineage: Bacteria
Description: partial 16S ribosomal RNA
Rfam family: Bacterial small subunit ribosomal RNA
Source: RNAcentral